UACAGAGGAGCCAAGCGUUGUCCGGAUUGACUGGGCGUAAAGCGCACGCAGGCGGUUGCGCGCGUGGGGUGUGAAAUCUGGCCGCUUAACGGCCAGGCGCCAUCCCAUACGGCGCGACUGGAGUGAUGCAGAGGUCGAUGGAAUUGCCGGUGUAGUGGUGAAAUGCGUAGAGGAUCGGCAGGAACACCCAGGGGGAAACCAGUCGACUGGGCAUCUACUGACGCUGAGGUGCGAGAGCGUGGGGAGCGAACCGG
This 254-nucleotide ribosomal RNA is filed under the name uncultured bacterium. RNAcentral describes it as "partial 16S ribosomal RNA". It matches the Rfam family "Bacterial small subunit ribosomal RNA", at positions 524 to 776 of the family's 1533-position model. The record is from RNAcentral.